RNAcentral lists this ribosomal RNA (327 nucleotides) under uncultured eukaryote. Its description in RNAcentral is "partial 18S ribosomal RNA". It matches the Rfam family "Eukaryotic small subunit ribosomal RNA", at positions 1470 to 1796 of the family's 1831-position model. The record is from RNAcentral.
CCCUUAGAUGUUCUGGGCCGCACGCGCGCUACACUGACGAAUGCAACGAGCUUAUAACCUUGGCCGAAAGGUCUGGGUAAUCUCUAAAUUUCGUCGUGAUGGGGAUAGAUUAUUGCAAUUAUUAAUCUUCAACGAGGAAUGCCUAGUAAGCGCAAGUCAUCAGCUUGCGUUGAUUACGUCCCUGCCCUUUGUACACACCGCCCGUCGCUCCUACCGAUUGAAUGGUCCGGUGAAGCGUUCGGACCGUGGCCUUUGGACGGUUCGCCGUCUGUUGGCUGCGGGAAGUUCGUUAAACCUUAUCAUUUAGAGGAAGGAGAAGUCGUAACA